GAGUUUGAUCCUGGCUCAGAAUCAACGCUGGCGGCGUGCCUAACACAUGCAAGUCGAACGCGAAAGUCCCCUUCGGGGGACGAGUAGAGUGGCGAACGGGUGAGUAGCGCGUGGGUGAUCUGCCCUUUGGUGGGGGAUAACCCGGGGAAACCCGGGCUAAUACCGCAUAAGCCUUCAGAUUCGGUUCUGAAGGGAAAAGUUUUUUGCCGAAGGAGGAGCCCGCGUCCGAUUAGUUAGUUGGUGAGGUAACGGCUCACCAAGACAGCGAUCGGUAGCCGGUCUGAGAGGACGGACGGCCACACUGGGACUGAGACACGGCCCAGACUCCUACGGGAGGCAGCAGUGGGGAAUUUUGGGCAAUGGGGGCAACCCUGACCCAGCAACGCCGCGUGGAGGAAGACGGUUUUCGGAUCGUAAACUCCUGUCCUGAGGGACGAAGAAGUGACGGUACCUCAGGAGGAAGCCCCGGCUAACUCCGUGCCAGCAGCCGCGGUAAUACGGGGG
RNAcentral lists this ribosomal RNA (504 nucleotides) under uncultured bacterium. RNAcentral describes it as "bacterial SSU rRNA". It matches the Rfam family "Bacterial small subunit ribosomal RNA", at positions 9 to 531 of the family's 1533-position model. The record is from RNAcentral.